GCUAUCUGCAGUCGAGCGGACAGAAGGGAGCUUGCUCCCGGAUGUUAGCGGCGGACGGGUGAGUAACACGUGGGUAACCUGCCUGUAAGACUGGGAUAACUCCGGGAAACCGGAGCUAAUACCGGAUAGUUCCUUGAACCGCAUGGUUCAAGGAUGAAAGACGGUUUCGGCUGUCACUUACAGAUGGACCCGCGGCGCAUUAGCUAGUUGGUGAGGUAACGGCUCACCAAGGCGACGAUGCGUAGCCGACCUGAGAGGGUGAUCGGCCACACUGGGACUGAGACACGGCCCAGACUCCUACGGGAGGCAGCAGUAGGGAAUCUUCCGCAAUGGACGAAAGUCUGACGGAGCAACGCCGCGUGAGUGAUGAAGGUUUUCGGAUCGUAAAGCUCUGUUGUUAGGGAAGAACAAGUGCAAGAGUAACUGCUUGCACCUUGACGGUACCUAACCAGAAAGCCACGGCUAACUACGUGCCAGCAGCCGCGGUAAUACGUAGGUGGCAAGCGUUGUCCGGAAUUAUUGGGCGUAAAGGGCUCGCAGGCGGUUUCUUAAAUCUGAUGUGAAAGCCCCCGGCUCAACCGGGGAGGGUCAUUGGAAACUGGGAAACUUGAGUGCAGAAGAGGAGAGUGGAAUUCCGCGUGUAGCGGUGAAAUGCGUAGAGAUGUGGAGGAACACCAGUGGCGAAGGCGACUCUCUGGUCUGUAACUGACGCUGAGGAGCGAAAGCGUGGGGAGCGAACAGGAUUAGAUACCCUGGUAGUCCACGCCGUAAACGAUGAGUGCUAAGUGUUAGGGGGUUUCCGCCCCUUAGUGCUGCAGCUAACGCAUUAAGCACUCCGCCUGGGGAGUAC
This 850-nucleotide ribosomal RNA is filed under the name uncultured bacterium. Its description in RNAcentral is "bacterial SSU rRNA". It matches the Rfam family "Bacterial small subunit ribosomal RNA", at positions 50 to 883 of the family's 1533-position model. The record is from RNAcentral.